UACGGAGGGGGCUAGCGUUGUUCGGAAUUACUGGGCGUAAAGCGCACGUAGGCGGACUGUUAAGUCGGGGGUGAAAUCCUGGGGCUCAACCUCAGAAUUGCCUCCGAUACUGGCAGUCUCGAGUGCGGGAGAGGUGAGUGGAAUUCCCAGUGUAGAGGUGAAAUUCGUAGAUAUUGGGAAGAACACCAGUGGCGAAGGCGGCUCACUGGCCCGUAACUGACGCUGAGGCACGAAAGCGUGGGUAGCAAACAGG
This 253-nucleotide ribosomal RNA is filed under the name uncultured bacterium. Its description in RNAcentral is "partial 16S ribosomal RNA". It matches the Rfam family "Bacterial small subunit ribosomal RNA", at positions 524 to 776 of the family's 1533-position model. The record is from RNAcentral.